This is a small nucleolar RNA of Zingiber officinale, 111 nucleotides long. RefSeq annotates it as small nucleolar RNA U19. The transcript has a single exon. NCBI's taxonomy places the organism in Eukaryota, Viridiplantae, Streptophyta, Magnoliopsida, Zingiberales, Zingiberaceae. The record is from RefSeq and is a predicted model, not a curated record.
AUCUGGUUUAGUUAGGAAGCGUACAGAAAAGUGAAGGUUAACCCUGAGGCCUGUUUUUGAGGGGACUCCAUGUAUCUCCUUGUGAUACUCCCCAGGCAGCCUUGGACAUUU